CCUACGGGAGGCAGCAGUAAGGAAUAUUGGUCAAUGGAGGCAACUCUGAACCAGCCAUGCCGCGUGCAGGAUGACGGCCCUAUGGGUUGUAAACUGCUUUUAUACAAGAGAAAACCCUGGUACGUGUACCAGGUUGAUAGUAUUGUAAGAAUAAGCAUCGGCUAACUUCGUGCCAGCAGCCGCGGUAAGACGAAGGAUGCAAGCGUUAUCCGGAUUCAUUGGGUUUAAAGGGUGCGUAGGCGGACUGAUAAGUCAGUGGUGAAAUCUCUUUGCUUAACAAAGAAACUGCCAUUGAUACUGUCGGUCUAGAGUAUAGAUGACGUUGGCGGAAUAUGACAUGUAGUGGUGAAAUACUUAGAUAUGUCAUAGAACACCGAUUGCGAAGGCAGCUAACGAAACUAUAACUGACGCUGAGGCACGAAAGUGCGGGGAUCAAACAGGAUUAGAUACCCUGGUAGUCCGCACCGUAAACGAUGAUUACUCGUUGUUGGCGAUAUGACAGUCAGCGACCAAGCGAAAGCGAUAAGUAAUCCAACCUGGGGAGUACGCCGGCAACGGUGAAACUUAAAGGAAAUUGACGGCGAGAGACGACGACGACGGACGACGACGGAGGGAGGAGG
This 620-nucleotide ribosomal RNA is filed under the name uncultured bacterium. RNAcentral's name for it is "bacterial SSU rRNA". It matches the Rfam family "Bacterial small subunit ribosomal RNA", at positions 338 to 956 of the family's 1533-position model. The record is from RNAcentral.